CUCGUUCAUUCCUGGAAGUUCAAUUCAGAACAAAGUUCGCCAAUGCUCAGCUCCUUAUCCCUGCUGUACAGUUCUCGACUCUCUUCUUCCUCAGACGCGCACACACACACUCACUUCCUCUCUCUAAUGGUGUAUCUUACAGAAUCUGAGCACCUCCUUCGUUCAUUGCUCAUCAAUCCUUUCCUUCCUGCACCUACGGGAUUCUUCUCGCGCCUCAACAAAGUUCACAUCUUCCUCGUUCGGUACCCUAAAAAAGCUAGCUUUUUUAGCUCAAAGCGGAGAGGAAAGGAAGGCCUUUCAUCGGUGAGUUAUUGUUUGACGGCUGAGGAUGAGGAGAGCUCGGCUGGUGAUGGCGAGUGCCGUCCUCCUUUCGAUCUCAACCUCGCCGUCCUUCUCGCAGGAUUCGCCUUCGAAGCCUACACCAGCCCUCCGAAAGAUAUGGGGUGGCGUGAAACAGAUCCAGCUCAGUGCCAAACGGUGAUUCUUUCAGAUUCAUUUCUUCGUGAGGUGUACGAUGGUCAGCUUUACAUCAAAUUACUAAAAGGUGUGGACCUUCCAGCAAUGGAUCCAUGGGGAACAAGUGACCCCUAUGUGAUAUUUCAAGUGAAUGGGCAGAUUGCCAAAAGUAAUGUCAAAUGGGGGUCAACGGAUCCAACAUGGAAUGAGGACUUUACCCUCAACAUCAAGUUAGCUACAGCAAAAAAAUUGCAGGUUAAUGCUUGGGAUGCUAAUCUGGUGACACCGCAUAAACGCAUGGGUAAUGGAUUGGUCAACCUUCAAUCUAUUUGUGAUGGCAAUUUACAUGAGGUUAUGGUUGAACUAGAGGGCAUUGGUGGUUGCGGCAAGAUCUAUUUGGAGAUCAAAUAUAAGAGCUUUGAUGAAAUUUAUGAAGAAAAACAGUGGUGGAGAAUACCCUUUGUCUCUGAUUUUCUUCUGAAGAGUAAUUUGGGUUCUGCUCUCAGAAUGGUUCUUGGAUCAGAAAACUUGAAUGUUAGUCAAUUUGUAGAGUCUGCGUUUGGACAAUUGAAGUCAUUUAAUUAUAAUUAUGUCAAGAGUCUUCACGCUUCUAAAAAUGGCAAAAAUGAUUCUCAUGAACCAGAAGAGUCUUUAAACGGCAUUCAUAGCUCAAAUGAAGCCCCAAAGAAAGAGAAUAUUAUACAGAGCUCAAUGGUAGGACACGAGAUUCAUAAUGUGAAUAAUUCAUCUGCCCCUCUUGUUGAUGAAGCAGAUGGAAAUAAUGAUCUGAUGGAGCAGAAAAAAAAUGACUCUAUACAGGCUGAAUAUUUUUGGAAAGCCUUUACUGACAUCAUCAAUCAAACCGUGUUCCUGAAGCUUGGUGUAUCGCUUCCUGAGAUUGAAAGUUGGGACAAAUUUGAUUUGCUGAACAACAUGAGUAUACAAUUGCGUAGAUCAGCAGAAGAAAAGUAUGUUGAGUUUGGACUUGCAACACCGAAAAGUAGGGAUAAGAACAAUAUUGAAACUAGCCAAACUUCUACAAAUGCUAUUGCAUCUUCAUCUACAGAUAUCAGAAUAGCAUCCCGAGAUUUACUUAGUCAGACCGACGCAAUUUUAGGAGCAUUGGUAGUGCUUGCAAAGACCUUUUCUAAACAGAAAGAUGAUUCAAUGUCACUGGAUAAUCAAAUAAAAAAUGGUGAUGACGAUAAGAAUGAAGGACCUUCAAAUAAAAAAGGGAGUGAUAGCUCCAACAAAGGAAUCACAUUAAGUACAAAAGGAGCGAAGGAGAUGCGGGAAUUAUUUUCUAGUGCUGAGAGUGCUAUGGAAGCUUGGGCUAUGCUCGCCACUUCCUUGGGUCGGUCAAGCUUCAUUAAAUCAGAAUUUGAGAAGAUAUGCUUUCUUGAUAAUGUUUCUACAGACACUCAAGUAGCUAUCUGGCGUGAUUCGGUUCGAAGAAGAUUGGUUGUUGCUUUCAGAGGCACUGAACAAGCAAAGUGGAAGGAUUUGCUAACUGAUUUAAUGUUCUUACCAGCUGGGUUGAAUCCUGAGAGAUUAGGUGGAGACUUCAAACAGGAAGUGCAGGUUCAUGGUGGAUUUUUGAAUGCUUACGAUUCUGUUCGAAACAGACUUUUGAUGCUUAUUAAGCUUGCAAUAGGUUACCAUGAAGAACAUCAUUUAGAGAGCAUGCCAAAGUGGAAUGUUUACGUUACAGGGCAUAGUUUAGGUGGUGCGCUUGCAACACUGCUUGCUUUAGAGAUUUCAACAAGUCCAAUGGCAAAGCAUGGUAUGAUUUCAGUUACAAUGUAUAAUUUUGGUUCUCCAAGAGUUGGUAAUAGAAGAUUUGCUGAUAUAUACAAUGAAAAGGUCAAAGAUAGCUGGAGAGUUGUGAACCAUAGGGAUAUUAUUCCUACGGUCCCACGCCUGAUGGGCUAUUGCCACGUAGCUCAACCUGUUUAUCUUGCAGCUGGAGAUUUAGAGAAGGCCAUGCUAAAUAGAGACUUCAGAGGAGAUGGAUAUGAGGGAGAUGUGAUUGGAGAGGCUACACCAGAAGUUCUUGUUAGUGAGUUUAUGAAAGGUGAAAAGCAGCUCAUUGAGAAGAUAUUGCAGACUGAGAUAAACCUUCUUCAAUCAAUCAGAGAUGGGACUGCUCUUAUGCAGCAUAUGGAAGACUUCUAUUACAUCUCGCUUCUUGAGAGUGUAAGAUCAAAUUACAUGCUUGCUGAAAAUACACAUUCCUAUGGAAAGAGCAUUCGAUCAACUGCAUGAAACAAAUUGUUGCAUUGAAUUUGUGAGGUAAGAUUCUCUACAUGCAACUAGGAGCUUGGAAGGCAAAUAACAGUCUACAAAUAAAUCAAAGGAGCAGGCACAACAUGAAGGACUCUUAAAUUGAUUCCAUGGCGAGUUUGCUAUUGCUCCAAUUGGAUUGGACACCUCCUCAAAGGUCAUUUGCUUAAUUAUGAUAUUUUGAUAUCUCUUAUUUUUAGUUUUUGAUAAUCCCCCUCAGAUUUUCAAGAUAAUAUAUUGCUUUUAUCAUCCUUCCAUAGCUUAUGUUUAAUGGAAAUGGAAACAACACAAGAUGGUUAAUAAAAACUGGAUUUGGUUGGAACGGAAUUGUCAUUCUUUAUAAGUUGUCUUUAAAGAUUCGAUAUCUUUCUCUAUUCUAAAAUUUUAGAUCAUAAAGCUUCUUUUUUGCUUAGCUUCGCCUAAACUUGAUGAAGAAUUUGAAGACUC
Molecule: RNA transcript, 3186 nt
Organism: Dendrobium catenatum
Lineage: Eukaryota; Viridiplantae; Streptophyta; Magnoliopsida; Asparagales; Orchidaceae
Exons: 9
Source: RefSeq, a predicted model, not a curated record